AGAGUUUGAUCCUGGCUCAGGACGAACGCUGGCGGCGUGCCUAAUACAUGCAAGUAGAACGCUGAAGAGAGGAGCUUGCUCUUCUUGGAUGAGUUGCGAACGGGUGAGUAACGCGUAGGUAACCUGCCUUGUAGCGGGGGAUAACUAUUGGAAACGAUAGCUAAUACCGCAUAACAAUGGAUGACACAUGUCAUUUAUUUGAAAGGGGCAAUUGUUCCACUACAAGAUGGACCUGCGUUGUAUUAGCUAGUAGGUGAGGUAAUGGCUCACCUAGGCGACGAUACAUAGCCGACCUGAGAGGGUGAUAGGCCACACUGGGACUGAGACACGGCCCAGACUCCUACGGGAGGCAGCAGUAGGGAAUCUUCGGCAAUGGGGGCAACCCUGACCGAGCAACGCCGCGUGAGUGAAGAAGGUUUUCGGAUCGUAAAGCUCUGUUGUAAGUCAAGAACGGGUGUGAGAGUGGAAAGUUCACACUGUGACGGUAGCUUACCAGAAAGGGACGGCUAACUACGUGCCAGCAGCCGCGGUAAUACGUAGGUCCCGAGCGUUGUCCGGAUUUAUUGGGCGUAAAGCGAGCGCAGGCGGUUUGAUAAGUCUGAAGUUAAAGGCUGUGGCUCAACCAUAGUUCGCUUUGGAAACUGUCAAACUUGAGUGCAGAAGGGGAGAGUGGAAUUCCAUGUGUAGCGGUGAAAUGCGUAGAUAUAUGGAGGAACACCGGUGGCGAAAGCGGCUCUCUGGUCUGUAACUGACGCUGAGGCUCGAAAGCGUGGGGAGCGAACAGGAUUAGAUACCCUGGUAGUCCACGCCGUAAACGAUGAGUGCUAGGUGUUGGAUCCUUUCCGGGAUUCAGUGCCGCAGCUAACGCAUUAAGCACUCCGCCUGGGGAGUACGACCGCAAGGUUGAAACUCAAAGGAAUUGACGGGGGCCCGCACAAGCGGUGGAGCAUGUGGUUUAAUUCGAAGCAACGCGAAGAACCUUACCAGGUCUUGACAUCCCGAUGCUAUUUCUAGAGAUAGAAAGUUACUUCGGUACAUCGGUGACAGGUGGUGCAUGGUUGUCGUCAGCUCGUGUCGUGAGAUGUUGGGUUAAGACCCGCAACGAGCGCAACCCCUAUUGUUAGUUGCCAUCAUUCAGUUGGGCACUCUAGCGAGACUGCCGGUAAUAAACCGGAGGAAGGUGGGGAUGACGUCAAAUCAUCAUGCCCCUUAUGACCUGGGCUACACACGUGCUACAAUGGUUGGUACAACGAGUUGCGAGUCGGUGACGGCGAGCUAAUCUCUUAAAGCCAAUCUCAGUUCGGAUUGUAGGCUGCAACUCGCCUACAUGAAGUCGGAAUCGCUAGUAAUCGCGGAUCAGCACGCCGCGGUGAAUACGUUCCCGGGCCUUGUACACACCGCCCGUCACACCACGAGAGUUUGUAACACCCGAAGUCGGUGAGGUAACCUUUUGGAGCCAGCCGCCUAAGGUGGGACAGAUGAUUGGGGUGAAGUCGUAACAAGGUA
Molecule: ribosomal RNA, 1506 nt
Filed under: metagenome
Description: bacterial SSU rRNA
Rfam family: Bacterial small subunit ribosomal RNA
Source: RNAcentral